AAUUAAAAAAGAAGAAAAUAAUUUAUUGUUAUAUGCACUUGCCCAUUGGUAUUUAAGCAGCAAAGCCUGACCGGAAGUCCAUUUUUCUCUUUCCGUUUCAUACUCGACAAAAUCUGCGUUAGGUGACGAUGAAUUUCUGAAGAUCUGAUUGCUCUAACAAUCUGAAUUUGUGGAUCAUCUUCCUCCGAUCGCGUGGAUCUAUGAUUGGAGCUAUGUUCAAUUUUGCAAUUUUCUAAAGAAUUCUGAAGGUUUGAUUUUGUGCACUGCUGCUUAUUUGUUUUGAUGAGAUCUGGAUUCCGAAAAGAUUUCAACAUGUCAGUGCAUAACAAGCAGAUGUUAUGCAUUUAAUUUUCUCGCAUUAGCAUAGUUUAAUCAAUCAGGCUUGUUGAAAAUUGGUGAUGAAAUCCUUGACAAACCACCAUUUGACAUAGUGGUGCACAGACGUUACUUUGUCAAAAAGGAAGAACAUAAGUUGAUAACCAUCAUUGUACCUCUAUGAUUUUGUGGGUUGGAAAGAGUAUAUUAGGGAAAAGCCCAUUUGACGAUGAAAGUGACCAAAGAUAUUCGGUUUUUUUUUCUAAACUCUUUAGCCUGUACACAAAUACAGCGGGCCUUUCCUAAAUCCAUGUGAAUUCCUCUUCAUAGGUUUUCAUUUCACCAGGGUCGUGAAAUGAGUUGGCUUCCAAAAUUCAAUAAGAUUGAGGUUAUCAAAAGAAAGGGAGUCUCACCAAUUCGUUUACCCUGGUUAUGAAUAUGUGAUUCACCUCUGAAAAUUAAUGACAAAAGUUUGGUUUGUUUAUCUGCAGCUGAAAAAAUCAAUAUCAAUUGGAUCCAUUGAUAUGUGUUUUUUAUUUUAUCUGUCUUAGUCUAAAAGUGUGAAAUAAUGCAAGAGAAUUUUAUGAAAAAUACGAAAUGAGUGUAGUCAAGUCAUUCCAGGAACCUGUAUUUAUGAUAGUAAUUUCCCCCCCAUGCUGCAUGUGGUAGAUGGAAGUUCUGAUCUCAGGAUACAAGGCGUACAAGUUGCACUCCCUGAUUUUUACAUUUUGUUCUUCUAUCAAAACUAAGGCAAUAGAAGGGAGGGCUAAAUUUGGAGUAGACUAUCAAAGAAAGAGGAAUAGCAAAAAGUUUCAAUUUUAAUGAAGAAUUGACAGAAUAGUAUUAAGAAGAAUGACUUUUUUAUAUGACUGAUUUCAUUUUCAGUUGCUACAAAAAGAUUGUAUAAACAAAGAAAGCCAACCAACAGACACUUUUGAAAAUUAAAAGAAAAGGUAGUUACUCUCUUAAUAAUACUUACAUGAAUUAAAGAGAACUAAUUUGAAGUGUCUUCUCUAAAGAUUGAAUUUUCAAGUGCCCGUUGGCUAGCUUCAAAAUUUUGAAAAGCAAAAACUAUAUCUAUAUGUAGGUUCCACCGUUCCAGUGUUCAGGAAAGCUAGCACUUGCAAGCCUUCUACGCUUCACAGAUUAGAAUGAGUAUGUGAGCGCUUCAUUGCUUAAAGCGAGUGCUUCAUCGCCUAAAGCGUGAAGCGGGGCCUUAUCGUUUUUUUCCGCUUCACGCUUCCCUGAACACUGGUAGGUUCUCUGUAACAGCCAGAAAAUCAAUUGGCUAUAGAAAACGAAACAUUUCUUCUUUACACCAUUCUGCCAGUUUUUCUUUAAUGUUGCUAUUCCUCCUUCAAUCUACUAUAAUUUUCGAAGUCCUUCUUUCUAUUGGUUUAGUUCUUGUGAUAGAAGAAAUUUAAAAGCCCCAAUUGAUUUUCUGAGUAGACAUUGUAUUCUAGGGAUAAAUGAAAAAAAAAAUCAGUUAACCAUUUGUACCAUAUGGGGAAAUAUAGUUUCUUGAAAAGGGGGCUUACACUUAUUCCGUGUUUUUAAAUAAAAUUCUGCCAUGAUUUCACUGGUUUAAAUUAUUUUUCAAUAUCUCUACAAAAUUCCCUUGUUAAAUAAGGAGGAAAUACGAAGGUACGUGUUACCUUUUUGUGUGGCAUUUUCAGCUCCAAAA
Solanum lycopersicum (tomato) is the source of this 1999-nucleotide non-coding RNA. The record is from RefSeq and is a predicted model, not a curated record. NCBI's taxonomy places the organism in Eukaryota, Viridiplantae, Streptophyta, Magnoliopsida, Solanales, Solanaceae.